AGCGAACGCUGGCGGCAGGCUUAACACAUGCAAGUCGAGCGGGCACCUUCGGGUGUCAGCGGCAGACGGGUGAGUAACACGUGGGAACGUACCCUUCGGUUCGGAAUAACGCUGGGAAACUAGCGCUAAUACCGGAUACGCCCUUAUGGGGAAAGGUUUACUGCCGAAGGAUCGGCCCGCGUCUGAUUAGCUAGUUGGUGGGGUAACGGCCUACCAAGGCGACGAUCAGUAGCUGGUCUGAGAGGAUGAUCAGCCACGCUGGGACUGAGACACGGCCCAGACUCCUACGGGAGGCAGCAGUGGGGAAUAUUGGACAAUGGGCGCAAGCCUGAUCCAGCCAUGCCGCGUGAGUGAUGAAGGCCUUAGGGUUGUAAAGCUCUUUUGUCCGGGACGAUAAUGACGGUACCGGAAGAAUAAGCCCCGGCUAACUUCAUG
Molecule: ribosomal RNA, 435 nt
Filed under: uncultured bacterium
Lineage: Bacteria
Description: partial 16S ribosomal RNA
Rfam family: Bacterial small subunit ribosomal RNA
Source: RNAcentral